CCCUUAGAUGUUCUGGGCCGCACGCGCGCUACACUGAUGCAUUCAACGAGCCUAUCCUUGACCGACAGGUCCGGGUAAUCUUUGAAUCUGCAUCGUGACGGGGAUAGAUUAUUGCAAUUAUUAAUCUUCAACGAGGAAUUCCUAGUAAGUAUGUGUCAUCAUCACGCACUGAUUACGUCCCUGCCCUUUGUACACACCGCCCGUCGCUCCUACCGAUUGGGUGAGCCGAUGAAACUCUCGGAUGUAGGCUAUUCAUAGCCCGCAGAAGAGAUUUGAAUCGUAGCGCUUAGAGGAAGGAGAAGUCGUAACA
This 310-nucleotide ribosomal RNA is filed under the name uncultured eukaryote. Its description in RNAcentral is "partial 18S ribosomal RNA". It matches the Rfam family "Eukaryotic small subunit ribosomal RNA", at positions 1470 to 1796 of the family's 1831-position model. The record is from RNAcentral.